GCCGCUGAGAUGGGUUGUCUGGCUACUUAAGAAGCAAAUUCUCCAAUGGGAAAACAAUCAAGUCCUUACAUAUCACUUGGCCAUUGAAGGAGAACAGGAUGCUAAUGAGAGUAGUCCAAGGAGAGGUACUUCAAAAGCAAAUCUCCUGAAAUGACAGACCCACAUUAGUGCUGAGGGACUAAGGAGUGGGGAAGGACUGAGUGAACCAGGAGAGCAACCCAGGAGAGCAAGCCCCUGGACACCUACGAGCCUUCCAAGACGGCUGUCUUCUUUGCCUUGAUCACCUGAGAAGAACUCCACAUUCUUACCCAGUGUGGUCUCCUAGGUGACAUUGACUGCUCUUCUCAAAACCAUCACUGCAAGGUUCAGGCGGAACUGUGGGACACUUUCCAGUUUUCAUCCUGGGUGUUUCUGAACAAGAUUAUAUCUCAUUGAAAUAUUUGCACCUCUACCUACAGACAAGGAAAAGGCUUGGAGCACCUCCAUUCAUUGUGCCAACAGGACCUGAAUGACCGGUUGUUUCUUGCUUACUACUUGCAGUCGACUAAGUAGAGGUUCAUAAGACCUUUAUAGAACCACUGAUAC
Cercocebus atys (sooty mangabey) is the source of this 585-nucleotide long non-coding RNA. RefSeq lists it as uncharacterized. The record is from RefSeq and is a predicted model, not a curated record. The transcript has 3 exons. NCBI's taxonomy places the organism in Eukaryota, Metazoa, Chordata, Mammalia, Primates, Cercopithecidae.